GUGCUUGCUUCGGCAGCACAUAUACUAAAAUUGGAAUGAUACAGAAAAGAUUAGCAUGGACCCUGCGCAAGGAUGACAUGCAAAUUUGUGAAGCGCUCCAUGUUUUU
RNAcentral lists this small nuclear RNA (107 nucleotides) under Cebus imitator (Panamanian white-faced capuchin). The record is from RNAcentral. Lineage: Eukaryota; Metazoa; Chordata; Mammalia; Primates; Cebidae.